Molecule: ribosomal RNA, 438 nt
Filed under: uncultured bacterium
Lineage: Bacteria
Description: bacterial SSU rRNA
Rfam family: Bacterial small subunit ribosomal RNA
Source: RNAcentral
AACGCGAAGAACCUUACCUGGGCUCGAAGCGCAGUGGACCGGGGUAGAAAUAUCCCUUUCUCGCAAGAGACUGCUGCGGAGGUGCUGCAUGGCCGUCGUCAGCUCGUGUCGUGAGGUGUUGGGUUAAGUCCCGCAACGAGCGCAACCCUUAUUCGUAGUUGCCACCCGCAAGGGGGAACUCUACGAGGACUGCUCCGGAUAACGGAGAGGAAGGUGGGGAUGACGUCAAGUCAGCACGGCCUUUAUGUCCAGGGCUACACACGUGUUACAAUGCGCGGCACAGACUGUUGCGAACCCGCGAGGGGGAGCUAAUCGGAAAAAGCCGACCUCAGUUCGGAUUGGAGUCUGCAACUCGACUCCAUGAAGCUGGAAUCGCUAGUAAUGGCGCAUCAGAACGGCGCCGUGAAUACGUUCCCGGGCCUUGUACACACCGAUAGC